This 409-nucleotide ribosomal RNA is filed under the name Chloroflexota bacterium. RNAcentral's name for it is "Chloroflexi bacterium partial 16S ribosomal RNA". It matches the Rfam family "Bacterial small subunit ribosomal RNA", at positions 355 to 776 of the family's 1533-position model. Lineage: Bacteria; Bacillati; Chloroflexota. The record is from RNAcentral.
UGGGGAAUAUUGCACAAUGGGCGAAAGCCUGAUGCAGCGACGCCGCGUGAGGGAUGACGGCCUUCGGGUUGUAAACCUCUUUCAGCAGGGACGAAGCGCAAGUGACGGUACCUGCAGAAGAAGCACCAGCUAACUACGUGCCAGCAGCCGCGGUAAUACGGAGGGUGCAAGCGUUAAUCGGAAUUACUGGGCGUAAAGCGCACGCAGGCGGUCUGUCAAGUCGGAUGUGAAAUCCCCGGGCUCAACCUGGGAACUGCAUCUGAUACUGGCAAGCUUGAGUCUCGUAGAGGGGGGUAGAAUUCCAGGUGUAGCGGUGAAAUGCGUAGAGAUCUGGAGGAAUACCGGUGGCGAAGGCGGCCCCCUGGACGAAGACUGACGCUCAGGUGCGAAAGCGUGGGGAGCAAACAGG